RNAcentral lists this ribosomal RNA (253 nucleotides) under uncultured bacterium. Its description in RNAcentral is "partial 16S ribosomal RNA". It matches the Rfam family "Bacterial small subunit ribosomal RNA", at positions 524 to 776 of the family's 1533-position model. The record is from RNAcentral.
UACGUAGGGUGCAAGCGUUAUCCGGAUUCACUGGGUUUAAAGGGUGCGUAGGCGGGCAGGUAAGUCAGUGGUGAAAUCUUCGAGCUUAACUCGGAAACUGCCGAUGAUACUAUCUGUCUUGAAUACCGUGGAGAUGAGCGGAAUAUGUCAUGUAGCGGUGAAAUGCUUAGAUAUGACAUAGAACACCAAUUGCGAAGGCAGCUCGUUACACGAAUAUUGACGCUGAGGCACGAAAGCGUGGGGAGCAAACAGG